This 465-nucleotide ribosomal RNA is filed under the name uncultured bacterium. RNAcentral describes it as "partial 16S ribosomal RNA". It matches the Rfam family "Bacterial small subunit ribosomal RNA", at positions 28 to 507 of the family's 1533-position model. The record is from RNAcentral.
GACGAACGCUGGCGGCGUGCUUAACACAUGCAAGUCGAACGGAAAGGCCCUGCUUGCAGGGUACUCGAGUGGCGAACGGGUGAGUAACACGUGGGUGAUCUGCCCUGCACUUCGGGAUAAGCCUGGGAAACUGGGUCUAAUACCGGAUAGGAGCCAUUUUUAGGGUGAUGGUUGGAAAGGUUUUUCGGUGUAGGAUGAGCUCGCGGCCUAUCAGCUUGUUGGUGGGGUAAUGGCCUACCAAGGCGGCGACGGGUAGCCGGCCUGAGAGGGUGGACGGCCACAUUGGGACUGAGAUACGGCCCAGACUCCUACGGGAGGCAGCAGUGGGGAAUAUUGCACAAUGGGCGCAAGCCUGAUGCAGCGACGCCGCGUGGGGGAUGACGGCCUUCGGGUUGUAAACUCCUUUCGCUAGGGACGAAGCUUUUUGUGACGGUACCUAGAUAAGAAGCACCGGCUAACUACGUG